RNAcentral lists this ribosomal RNA (301 nucleotides) under uncultured bacterium. Its description in RNAcentral is "partial 16S ribosomal RNA". It matches the Rfam family "Bacterial small subunit ribosomal RNA", at positions 509 to 807 of the family's 1533-position model. The record is from RNAcentral.
CAGUCGCCACGGUAACACGUAGGUGGCAAGCGUUGUCCGGAAUUAUUGGGCGUAAAGCGCGCGCAGGUGGUUUAAUAAGUCUGAUGUGAAAGCCCACGGCUCAACCGUGGAGGGUCAUUGGAAACUGUUAAACUUGAGUGCAGGAGAGAAAAGUGGAAUUCCUAGUGUAGCGGUGAAAUGCGUAGAGAUUAGGAGGAACACCAGUGGCGAAGGCGGCUUUUUGGCCUGUAAUUGACACUGAGGCGCGAAAGCGUGGGGAGCAAACAGGAUUAGAUACCCCAGUAGUCCCUGUCUCUUAUAC